GAUGAACGCUGGCGGCGUGCUUAACACAUGCAAGUCGAACGAAGCACUUUGGACAGAUUCUUCGGAUGAAGUCCUCAGUGACUGAGUGGCGGACGGGUGAGUAACGCGUGGGUAACCUGCCUCAUACAGGGGGAUAACAGUUAGAAAUGGCUGCUAAUACCGCAUAAGCGCACGGUACUGCAUGGUACAGUGUGAAAACUCCGGUGGUAUGAGAUGGACCCGCGUUGGAUUAGCUAGUUGCAGGUACGCCUACAGGCGACGAUCCAUAGCCGGCUGAGAGGGUGGACGGCCACAUUGGGACUGAGACCACGGGCCCAGGUACUCCGUA
Molecule: ribosomal RNA, 328 nt
Filed under: uncultured bacterium
Lineage: Bacteria
Description: bacterial SSU rRNA
Rfam family: Bacterial small subunit ribosomal RNA
Source: RNAcentral